GAUAAUAAAGGAUGUUCAGAAACACUCGCAAAUCUGAUAGAAAGGUAACACCUGGAAAGUGAACUGACGACUGAUACACAGCUAAAAGAAUUAGCAUAUGCACUGCUAUUCAUCUCUAAUAGAACUUCUUGAACAAUUUGCAAAAUAAUAAAGCAUCUGCAUCACUGGACGGUAUCAAUUCGGUUGUACUCACGUUUUCCAUAGCAAUUGUUUACAGUAAUGUAGAAUGCAACUAGAUGCAAGUAGAGUAACAAAUACUCCUUCGGUUACAAAAUGUAAGGUCUAAAUUUGAACUUUGAUUGUAAGUUUAUCAUACAAUAUGUUGUUGAUAGUCACAAAAUCACAAUCAAAAGAAUCCUCUCCCAAACAAACCCAAUGGUUUCAAUUUUAUUUAACAUAACCCACGUAUUAUUGGAUGAACUGCAGGUCAAAGAACGAAUUCACAUUGUCAUACAAUGUUCUAGCCAAGUCCAUGAAUAUGAAGUAUUAUUUAUUUACCUGUGCAGAGAUCUCCUCCGCGGCGAACUGCUUGCCAAUUGCUGGGCAAUCGAGCUUGACGUUGCCGUUAUCGUCCCGGACAAGGAGGUAGGAAACCUGCUUGGACUCCUCGGCGACCUCGUUCAUCUUUCGGCCGAUGAACCUCUUGACGGAGAAGAAGGUGUUCUCCGGGUUGACCACCGCCUGCCUCUUGGCGAUCUGUCCCACCAGCCGGUCCCCGGCCUUGGUGUACGCCACGACCGACGGCGUGGUCCGCGCGCCCUCGGCGUUGGUGACGAUGGUGGGCUUGCCGCCCUCCAUCGCCGCGACCGCUGAGUUGGUGGUCCCGAGGUCGAUCCCCACCACCUUCUCGCAGGCGACGCGCAGUGGCCGCCACCGCCGCCCACCACGGCCGUACACCACCGCGGUCGUUCGGAGGUUGACGGAGGGGCGCCGGGUGCCGUGGUGGACGAAGAAGGGGGUCGAGGUGGGGAAGGCCGUGGUCGCCAUGGCUGAGAGCACGAGCAGUAACCCGGGGGGCAGGGGUUGGUGGGGGGCGAAACCCUAGAAGGGGCAGGAAGUCCAGUUGAAGGAAGGAGCUUGGUGGAUUCGCGUGGGUUUUGC
Molecule: long non-coding RNA, 1101 nt
Filed under: Triticum aestivum (bread wheat)
Lineage: Eukaryota; Viridiplantae; Streptophyta; Magnoliopsida; Poales; Poaceae
Description: long non-coding RNA (TAES_LNC003988)
Source: RNAcentral